AGCCAUUCUAUUAUUCAAUGGUAUCUCACCUGACCCUCCCCCUCCCAUGCAUUACAACAUUGGGUUGCUAGCACCAGUCCUACCUUGCGUAUAGGAUCCAAGCAGCACAGCUGGGCUGGAGGAGGGCUGUGCUGUGCCGUGCUGUGCCACUGACUCCAGGUGCAGUCAAGGUCUUGCAGUGCUGGAAAAGAGAAAGGUGCUGCUCUUCGAGCAGAGGUGUUGAUGUGCACACACACUUCCGUUCCCAAAAGCUCAAGCCAUCCACCAGCACCAGGUACCGGUUAUGUGGGAGCCAUCAGCUCCAGCCAGGACCUGAAGGCAGAGACUAGGGCUUGGCAGCUGUGAUUUUUUCCCCAGAUUCAGAAGAUUGAGUACAAAGUGCUGAAUACACUGCUGGCCAUUGGCAUUGGACAGGAGCAAUUCCUCAAGGGCAUACAUGGCAGAGGAGCACAGUGCCCAAGCCCUACCUCAGCUUGUCAUCUCGCUCCUUCUCAAGACAGGAGAAGACAUAGUUAUGUCUGCAGCUCAAGUCAUCUGAUUUAUUCCUGACAACUGCAUUAGGAGGAGAUAAACAGCGCCUAAAAGUGCCAGUGUCUCUCCAUUAACCAGAGGAAGCCUGAGCUCCCUGUUGUAAACAUGAAGCAUCAACAUGACAAAUGGCUGCACCUGGGCAAAGCGUCCCUGCCAGAACCAGGGCUGCCGAGGGAGGGACACCCACACUCGGCUCAUGUAGGCGAGCUUCUAUGGGGGAAAUUCUCCUUUGUCCUGGAGCUCCUGGACAGCUCAAGAUUGUGGAGUUACAGCUGGGAUUCUGCUUCAAGGAGAUCCACUUCCUAGGUGAAGGUUUGCCUGGAAGUUGUCUGAGAACUGGGAUGAGGAUGCUCGCCGAGCUGCCCCUGUGCUGCAACACUUUGCUGGGGUCUAUGCUGUUGGACGGCACCAUGGCUUGCCUUGUGGCCUUACCUUUACGUUUGCCAUCACUGCUGACCUGCCCCGAAUAG
RNAcentral lists this long non-coding RNA (1001 nucleotides) under Numida meleagris (helmeted guineafowl). Its description in RNAcentral is "lncRNA (ENSNMEG00000019376.1)". The record is from RNAcentral. Lineage: Eukaryota; Metazoa; Chordata; Aves; Galliformes; Numididae.